This 440-nucleotide ribosomal RNA is filed under the name uncultured bacterium. RNAcentral's name for it is "partial 16S ribosomal RNA". It matches the Rfam family "Bacterial small subunit ribosomal RNA", at positions 338 to 795 of the family's 1533-position model. The record is from RNAcentral.
CCUACGGGAGGCAGCAGUGGGGGAUAUUGCACAAUGGGGGGAACCCUGCUGCAGCGACGCCGCGUGGGUGAAGAAGCGCCUCGGCGCGUAAAGCCCUGUCAGCAGGGAAGAAAAUGACGGUACCUGAAGAAGAAGCCCCGGCUAACUACGUGCCAGCAGCCGCGGUAAUACGUAGGGGGCAAGCGUUAUCCGGAUGUACUGGGUGUACAGGGGGCGCAGACGGCGAUGCAAGCCAGGAGUGAAAGCCCGGGACCCACCCCCGGGACGGCUCGUGGAACUGCGUGGCUGGAGUGCAGGAGGGGCAGGCGGAAUUCCGGGUGGAGCGGUGAAGUGCGUAGAUAUCAGGAGGAACACCGGUGGCGAAGGCGGCCUGCUGGACUGCAACUGACGUUGAGGCCCGAAAGCGUGGGGAGCAAACAGGAUUAGAUACCCCUGUAGUC